Molecule: ribosomal RNA, 497 nt
Filed under: uncultured bacterium
Lineage: Bacteria
Description: partial 16S ribosomal RNA
Rfam family: Bacterial small subunit ribosomal RNA
Source: RNAcentral
GAUGAACGCUGGCGGCGUGCCUAAUACAUGCAAGUCGAGCGAACAGACGAGGAGCUUGCUCCUCUGACGUUAGGGGCGGACGGGUGAGUAACACGUGGAUAACCUACCUAUAAGACUGGGAUAACUUCGGGAAACCGGAGCUAAUACCGGAUAAUAUAUUGAACCGCAUGGUUCAAUAGUGAAAGACGGUUUUGCUGUAACUUAUAGAUGGAUCCGCGCCGCAUUAGCUAGUUGGUAAGGUCACGGCUUACCAAGGCAACGAGGCGUAGACGACGUGAGAGAGUGGUAGGCCGCCUGGGAGCGUGACCAGGGACAAUGCUCCUGCGGGAGGCACCAGUCGGGUAUGGGCCGCAAUAGGGGGGAGCCUUACGGAGCGGCGGCGCGUGAGUGAUGAAGGUCUUCGGAGCGUAAAACUCGGUUAUUAGGGAAGAACAAAUGUGGAAGGAACUGUGCACGGCUUGACGGUACCUAAUCAGAAAGCCACGGCUAACUACGUG